RNAcentral lists this ribosomal RNA (403 nucleotides) under uncultured bacterium. RNAcentral describes it as "bacterial SSU rRNA". It matches the Rfam family "Bacterial small subunit ribosomal RNA", at positions 29 to 429 of the family's 1533-position model. The record is from RNAcentral.
AUUGAACGCUGGCGGCAUGCCUAACACAUGCAAGUCGAACGGCAGCACGGCAGUAGCAAUACUGUGGGUGGCGAGUGGCGGACGGGUGAGGAAUACGUCGGAAUCUGCCCAAUCGUGGGGGAUAACUAACCGAAAGGUUAGCUAAUACCGCAUACGACCGAGAGGUGAAAGCGGGGGACCGCAAGGCCUCGCGCGAUUGGAUGAGCCGACGUCGGAUUAGCUUGUUGGUGGGGUAAAGGCCUACCAAGGCAACGAUCCGUAGCUGGUCUGAGAGGAUGAUCAGCCACACUGGAACUGAGACACGGUCCAGACUCCUACGGGAGGCAGCAGUGGGGAAUAUUGGACAAUGGGCGCAAGCCUGAUCCAGCAAUGCCGCGUGUGUGAAGAAGGCCUCGGUUGUAAG